This 267-nucleotide long non-coding RNA is filed under the name Manihot esculenta (cassava). RNAcentral's name for it is "long non-coding RNA (MESC_LNC011357)". Lineage: Eukaryota; Viridiplantae; Streptophyta; Magnoliopsida; Malpighiales; Euphorbiaceae. The record is from RNAcentral.
UCAGAAAAUGUUGCACCUCCUCCACCAUCAGCAGAACCCACAGUUCCAGCAACCCAUAUACCUAAGCCUAGCUCAUCUGGUGGGAGCAAGGUUAAGAUGACCAACUACAUGAAGCUGGGUGCUCCCAAGUAUGAAACCGGUGAUGACCCGUUUGUGUACCUUGAGAGGGUCAAAACGAUUACAGAUGAGAUAGGAGCUGAUGACAGCAGAGCCAUUCAGAUGGCUGGGUUCACACUCAAAUGCAAAAAGGCCCGAUAGUGGUUUAAG